ACGUCAAAUCAUCAUGCCCUUAUGGACCUGGGCUACAAACGUGAUACAAUGGCUGAACAAAGGGCAGCGAAGGAGCGAUCUGGAGCGAACCCAAAAAGCAGUCUCAGUUCGGAUUGAAGUCUGCAACUCGACUUCAUGAAGUCGGAAUCGCUAGUAAUCGCGGAUCAGAACGCCGCGGUCGAAUACGUUCUCCGGGUUU
Molecule: ribosomal RNA, 199 nt
Filed under: uncultured Acholeplasma sp.
Lineage: Bacteria; Bacillati; Mycoplasmatota; Mollicutes; Acholeplasmatales; Acholeplasmataceae
Description: partial 16S ribosomal RNA
Rfam family: Bacterial small subunit ribosomal RNA
Source: RNAcentral